RNAcentral lists this ribosomal RNA (472 nucleotides) under uncultured bacterium. RNAcentral's name for it is "partial 16S ribosomal RNA". It matches the Rfam family "Bacterial small subunit ribosomal RNA", at positions 28 to 507 of the family's 1533-position model. The record is from RNAcentral.
GACGAACGCUGGCGGCGUGCUUAACACAUGCAAGUCGAGCGGAAAGGCCCUUCGGGGUACUCGAGCGGCGAACGGGUGGGUAACACGUGAGUAAUCUGCCCUUGGCUUUGGGAUAACUACCGGAAACGGUGGCUAAUACCGGAUACGACAACCGUCUGCAUGGGCUGGUUGUGGAAAGUUUUUUCGGCCAGGGAUGUGCUCGCGGCCUAUCAGCUUGUUGGUGGGGUAAUGGCCUACCAAGGCUUCGACGGGUAGCCGGCCUGAGAGGGUGACCGGCCACACUGGGAAUGAGACACGGCCCAGACUCCUACGGGAGGCAGCAGUGGGGAAUAUUGGACAAUGGGCGGAAGCCUGAUCCAGCAACGCCGCGUGAGGGAUGACGGCCUUCGGGUUGUAAACCUCUUUCAGUACCGACGAAGCGCCGAUGAUGGUGGUGACGGUAGGUACAGAAGAAGCACCGGCCAACUACGUG